ACGAGAGAAUAUUUAUUAGAAAUGAUGUUUAAAUAAUAUUGACGUAUUAGACAUGCAAAACGAUUUCGAAUACGAGCAAGAUUGCAUGGCGCUGCUACUUUCGCCGGUGGCGUAUUAUUUGCAUAGAUGCGUUUAUAUGGAACGCGGAGAUACACAGAGAGGUGAGAGAGUGGGAUACGGCAUAGAACAUAUCCGCGACUUCAUUCCUCACGACGGCGCGAAUCGAUAAACGGCGACCAUCACGCAACACACAAACCCAUCCUCGCCAACCACCCCGACCUCGACGACCGGCUGCACCAUUCCCCGGAUCGUACGGCAUCUCUACACAUCUUGUUACCAUUAAAGUAGACAGAGCUUUCGAUCCACUCGGUACACUCGACAAUUACAUAACCUAUAAAUUUUCCCUUCUUCGAAUAUAUUUUUAUCAAACGGAAGGAUAAACUCAAAAAUUUGAGAGGUCAAGUAUACGAAACGAGAAAAACGUGACAGAUUUACUAAAGAACAAUCCAUUCGAAGCAAGUAUUCGAGUACCUAGAAAUGAGGUUAUUCUAGAUGAUAAUAUAUAAUGUAUACGCUUGUAUAUUAGAAACAGAAUAGAUAAAAUUAAUAAAAACA
Molecule: long non-coding RNA, 615 nt
Filed under: Apis mellifera (honey bee)
Lineage: Eukaryota; Metazoa; Arthropoda; Insecta; Hymenoptera; Apidae
Description: uncharacterized LOC102654882, transcript variant X2
Source: RNAcentral